UAAACCUCACCUCUACUGUUUUUCAUUAGACAUGUGGAUUGGUGCUUUGGGUGUCUGCCGUUUACUCUGGCUCGCCUUAAAUGUCUAAGUGGAGAAUGCGUAAUAAGUCUUCGCAACCCUCCACUCUAAUACAAACUCUUUAUA
This 144-nucleotide unclassified non-coding RNA is filed under the name uncultured Tremellales. Its description in RNAcentral is "sequence contains ITS2". The record is from RNAcentral. Lineage: Eukaryota; Fungi; Basidiomycota; Tremellomycetes; Tremellales.